AGAAUCAACGCUGGCGGCGUGCCUAACACAUGCAAGUCGAGCGCGAAAGGGGGGCAACCCCUGAGUAGAGCGGCGAACGGGUGAGUAACGCGUGGGUAAUCUACCUUCGAGUGGGGAAUAACCCCGGGAAACUGGGGCUAAUACCGCAUGACAUCGUCCGGGCCUUCGGGUCUGACGAUCAAAGCCGGGGACCGCAAGGCCUGGCGCUUGAAGACGAGCCCGCGUCCGAUUAGCUAGUUGGCGGGGUAAUGGCCCACCAAGGCUUCGAUCGGUA
Molecule: ribosomal RNA, 274 nt
Filed under: uncultured bacterium
Lineage: Bacteria
Description: partial small subunit ribosomal RNA
Rfam family: Bacterial small subunit ribosomal RNA
Source: RNAcentral